Molecule: ribosomal RNA, 445 nt
Filed under: uncultured bacterium
Lineage: Bacteria
Description: partial 16S ribosomal RNA
Rfam family: Bacterial small subunit ribosomal RNA
Source: RNAcentral
GUGAGGAAUAUUGGUCAAUGGGCGAGAGCCUGAACCAGCCAAGUAGCGUGAAGGAUGACUGCCCUAUGGGUUGUAAACUUCUUUUAUAAAGGAAUAAAGUCGGGUAUGGAUACCCGUUUGCAUGUACUUUAUGAAUAAGGAUCGGCUAACUCCGUGCCAGCAGCCGCGGUAAUACGGAGGAUCCGAGCGUUAUCCGGAUUUAUUGGGUUUAAAGGGAGCGUAGAUGGAUGUUUAAGUCAGUUGUGAAAGUUUGCGGCUCAACCGUAAAAUUGCAGUUGAUACUGGAUAUCUUGAGUGCAGUUGAGGCAGGCGGAAUUCGUGGUGUAGCGGUGAAAUGCUUAGAUAUCACGAAGAACUCCGAUUGCGAAGGCAGCCUGCUAAGCUGCAACUGACAUUGAGGCUCGAAAGUGUGGGUAUCAAACAGGAUUAGAAACCCCGGUAGUCC